Molecule: transfer RNA, 72 nt
Filed under: Yarrowia lipolytica
Lineage: Eukaryota; Fungi; Ascomycota; Dipodascomycetes; Dipodascales
Also listed under: 6 other names
Rfam family: tRNA
About the family: Transfer RNA (tRNA) molecules are approximately 80 nucleotides in length. Their secondary structure includes four short double-helical elements and three loops (D, anti-codon, and T loops).
Source: RNAcentral
GCCCGUUUAGCUUAGGGGUAGAGCGUUGCACUUGUAAUGCAAAGGUCACUGGUUCGAUUCCAGUAUCGGGCA